Long non-coding RNA from Rhinichthys klamathensis goyatoka, 435 nucleotides. RefSeq lists it as uncharacterized. Lineage: Eukaryota; Metazoa; Chordata; Actinopteri; Cypriniformes; Leuciscidae. The transcript is spliced from 3 exons. The record is from RefSeq and is a predicted model, not a curated record.
UUAAUGAUGAAAGUACUUUUUUUAGGUGAUCUGUAGAGAACAAACCUUAAAGUGCCACUAUAUACUGCUGCCACGAACAGUCCUGGCAGACCAGGGUAUUCACUCAGGAUGUCCAACACCAGGUUAAGCCGGCCGCCCUGAGCGGAGUCACUGAUGAUAGUGGAGAUCCCGCCCUGCAGAAGCACUGAUUGGACGAUGACAGCCAAAAGACCAGCCAAUAGGAUGCCAACCUGGAACACGUCCGUCCACACCACCGCCUUCAGACCGCCCUGCCAAGUAGAGAGUGCAGACGACCCCAGUCGACAUGACGGCACCCCAGAGAUCCACACCAGUGACUGAGACAAGAGAGAGAGGAGAGAGUUCACUUGACCAUAGAGUGCUCCUGCACAUUAUCAAGCAUACUUGUUACACCAUGCACUCCACAAAUAAUGCAGU